Molecule: transfer RNA, 74 nt
Filed under: Crassvirales sp.
Lineage: Duplodnaviria; Heunggongvirae; Uroviricota; Caudoviricetes; Crassvirales
Description: tRNA-Lys
Rfam family: tRNA
About the family: Transfer RNA (tRNA) molecules are approximately 80 nucleotides in length.
Source: RNAcentral
GCCUCUAUAGCUGAAUUGGUUAAAGCAACAGUCUCUUAAACUGUGGACUCAAGGUUCAAGCCCUUGUGGAGGCA